RNAcentral lists this unclassified non-coding RNA (256 nucleotides) under Hevea brasiliensis (rubber tree). The record is from RNAcentral. Lineage: Eukaryota; Viridiplantae; Streptophyta; Magnoliopsida; Malpighiales; Euphorbiaceae.
AUCAUCAGAAUGGGGUUGAAGAGGCUGGGGGGAAUGGUCCUAGGAUGCCAGUAGAAGCUAUGGGCUUUGUAAAUAGUAGUGACAGCCCCAAAAGAGAUACUUGGCUUGAGAAUGUAAAUAAUAGAGAGCACUUAAGAACAGAAGCUCAACUCAAGUUUGUAAAUAGUAACAGUGGGGGCCCAAAAGUGGAGAAUCAUUUUGAAGAUGAGGACGAUGAGUUUGAUUAGAGACAAGAAUGAGAGGCUCAGAGGGCUCG